CCUGCACAAAAGAGGGAGGACCCCACUCUGCAAAGACUUGGCCCAGAUGGUGACUAAGUCUGGGCCAAGGACAUCCCAGAACACGCGGUAGAACUCCACGGUCAGCCCGUCCAUGCCCAGAGAUUUAUUGGUGGGCAU
Chelonia mydas (Green sea turtle) is the source of this 138-nucleotide long non-coding RNA. RefSeq lists it as uncharacterized. The transcript has 2 exons. The record is from RefSeq and is a predicted model, not a curated record. Lineage: Eukaryota; Metazoa; Chordata; Testudines; Cheloniidae.